CCAGACUCCUACGGGAGGCAGCAGUGAGGAAUAUUGGUCAAUGGGCGGGAGCCUGAACCAGCCAUGCCGCGUGAAGGCGAGUGCCCUACGGGCGUUAAACUUCUUUUGUGCGGGAGCAAUAAGGGCCACGCGUGGCCCGAUGAGAGUACCGCACGAAUAAGCAUCGGCUAACUCCGUGCCAGCAGCCGCGGUAAUACGGGGGAUGCGAGCGUUAUCCGGAUUUAUUGGGUUUAAAGGGUGCGUAGGCGGCGCUUCAGGUCAGCGGUGAAAUACCGGGGCUCAACCCCGGGGCUGCCGUUGAAACUGGGGGCCUUGAGUGGGCGAGAAGAAGGCGGAAUGCGUGGUGUAGCGGUGAAAUGCAUAGAUAUCACGCAGAACCCCGAUUGCGAAGGCAGCCUUCCGGCGCCCUACUGACGCUGAGGCACGAAAGUGCGGGGAUCGAACAGGAUUAGAUACCCGCGUA
Molecule: ribosomal RNA, 463 nt
Filed under: uncultured bacterium
Lineage: Bacteria
Description: partial 16S ribosomal RNA
Rfam family: Bacterial small subunit ribosomal RNA
Source: RNAcentral